RNAcentral lists this ribosomal RNA (253 nucleotides) under uncultured bacterium. Its description in RNAcentral is "partial 16S ribosomal RNA". It matches the Rfam family "Bacterial small subunit ribosomal RNA", at positions 524 to 776 of the family's 1533-position model. The record is from RNAcentral.
UACGUAGGUGGCAAGCGUUGUCCGGAUUUACUGGGCGUAAAGAGCGCGCAGGCGGUCGUUCAAGUCGCGUGUGAAAGCCCCCGGCUCAACUGGGGAGGGUCACGCGAUACUGAUCGACUCGAAGGCAGGAGAGGGAAGUGGAAUUCCCGGUGUAGUGGUGAAAUGCGUAGAUAUCGGGAGGAACACCAGUGGCGAAGGCGACUUCCUGGCCUGUUCUUGACGCUGAGGCGCGAAAGCUAGGGGAGCAAACGGA